ACAUUUGCAUGCAGUAAGGGCAAAAUAUACUCUUUUCAUGGGUUUGUAUAUUUAUGACAGCCUUGGAAAAUGAGAGAAAACCUGGGAGUAGGUCUUUGAUAUAGACUGUGGGAGAGCAAAAACCAUUACACAUAUGUCUGAGGAUAACACUACCAAGGUUUCCAUUCCUUUAAAAUAAGACCAUCAGAACAGCCUCAUAAACAGUGUUUGUACCUGUCAUUAGCUCAAAACAGAUUCAACCUCAAGGGCCAAGACUGGGGUACAACUGCCAUCAAUAUCACUCAGAGAAGAGGGUAUGUCACCCAUCAUAUGAAUAUCAAGAGAAUUUUGGUGUUCUAUCAGUCCUUCUAAUCUUUAUAAACCUCAUAUGACAAUACACUAAA
Long non-coding RNA from Passer domesticus (house sparrow), 383 nucleotides. RefSeq lists it as uncharacterized. The record is from RefSeq and is a predicted model, not a curated record. The transcript has 2 exons. Lineage: Eukaryota; Metazoa; Chordata; Aves; Passeriformes; Passeridae.